UACGAAGGGGGCUAGCGUUGUUCGGAAUUACUGGGCGUAAAGCGCACGUAGGCGGUUCGUUGAAUUAGAAGUGAAAGCCCUGGGCUCAACCCGGGAAAUGCUUUUAAGACUGGCGAACUUGAAUCCGGAAGAGGGCAGUGGAAUUCCCAGUGUAGAGGUGAAAUUCGUAGAUAUUGGGAAGAACACCAGUGGCGAAGGCGACUGCCUGGUCCGGGAUUGACGCUGAUGUGCGAAAGCGUGGGGAG
This 245-nucleotide ribosomal RNA is filed under the name uncultured bacterium. Its description in RNAcentral is "partial 16S ribosomal RNA". It matches the Rfam family "Bacterial small subunit ribosomal RNA", at positions 524 to 768 of the family's 1533-position model. The record is from RNAcentral.